CGGGAAUUUUGUUUUGCUAAUUUGCACUUUAAAGAGCAAAUUUGUGACAAGUUACUUCGCUUUUAGAUCGUAUUUACUUUUGUUACAGAUGAUAUUUGUAACAAAUAAUUGUCACAGAUGAUAUUUACUAGCUAAAGGCUUGAAAAAAUCUAUCAACGAACGAAAUUUUCCUUGGAAAAUGUCGACAAGAAGCAAACAAGAAUCGAGUAAGCCAAUGCAUGUGCUCUCUGAAAGCAUGUCAUUCACGUC
Molecule: non-coding RNA, 249 nt
Organism: Paramuricea clavata
Lineage: Eukaryota; Metazoa; Cnidaria; Anthozoa; Malacalcyonacea; Plexauridae
Source: the annotation of a GenBank genome assembly